This 677-nucleotide ribosomal RNA is filed under the name Cryptococcus sp. HB 1222. Its description in RNAcentral is "eukaryotic LSU rRNA". It matches the Rfam family "Eukaryotic large subunit ribosomal RNA", at positions 1 to 668 of the family's 3401-position model. The record is from RNAcentral. Lineage: Eukaryota; Fungi; Basidiomycota; Tremellomycetes; Tremellales; Cryptococcaceae.
UGGCCUCAAAUCAGGUAGGGCUACCCGCUGAACUUAAGCAUAUCAAUAAGCGGAGGAAAAGAAACUAACUAGGAUUCCCUUAGUAACGGCGAGUGAACCGGGAUGAGCUCAAAUUUGAAAUCUGGCGUCUUUCAGGCGUCCGAGUUGUAAUCUAUAGAGGCGUUUUCCGCGCCGGACCGCGUCCAAGUCUCUUGGAAUAGAGUAUCAAAGAGGGUGACAAUCCCGUACUUGACGCGACAACCGGUGCUCUGUGAUACGUUCUCAACGAGUCGAGUUGUUUGGGAAUGCAGCUCUAAAUGGGUGGUAAAUUCCAUCUAAGGCUAAAUAUUGGCGAGAGACCGAUAGCGAACAAGUACCGUGAGGGAAAGAUGAAAAGCACUUUGGAAAGAGAGUUAAACAGCACGUGAAAUUGUUAAAAGGGAAACGAUUGAAGUCAGUCGUGUGAAAGGUAUUCAGCCGUCUCUGGCGGUGUAUUUGCCUUUCACGGGUCAACAUCAGUUUAGUCCGGUAGAAAAAGGCUGGAGGAAGGUGGCACCCUCGGGUGUGUUAUAGCCUCCUGUCACAUGUGCCGGAUUAGACUGAGGAACGCAGCUUGCCGCAAGGCCGGGGUUCGCCCACGUACAAGCUUAGGAUGUUGACAUAAUGGCUUUAAACGACCCGUCUUGAAACACGGACCA